UACGGAGGAUGCGAGCGUUAUCCGGAUUUAUUGGGUUUAAAGGGUGCGUAGGCGGACGCUUAAGUCAGCGGUAAAAUUGCGGGGCUCAACCUCGUCGAGCCGUUGAAACUGGGUGCCUUGAGUGGGCGAGAAGUACGCGGAAUGCGUGGUGUAGCGGUGAAAUGCAUAGAUAUCACGCAGAACUCUGAUUGCGAAGGCAGCGUACCGGCGCCCAACUGACGCUGAAGCACGAAGGCGUGGGUAUCGAACAGG
This 252-nucleotide ribosomal RNA is filed under the name uncultured bacterium. RNAcentral describes it as "partial 16S ribosomal RNA". It matches the Rfam family "Bacterial small subunit ribosomal RNA", at positions 524 to 776 of the family's 1533-position model. The record is from RNAcentral.